GAAACUCUUAAAAAAAAGAGAGUAAAUAAAAAGAGAGGUGAAGUGAUACAAAAGUCACUCUGUUUGGUUUUUUAGUUGAUCUAUAAGAGGAGAGCAUAUGAAAAACGUAACCGAUUCUUUCCUUUCUUUGGGCCACUGGCCAUCUGCUGGGAGUUUCGGGUUUAAUACCGAUAUUUUUGCAACAAAUCCAAUAAAUCUAAGUGUAGUACUUGGUGUAUUGAUCUUUUUUGGAAAGGGAGUAUUGAGUGAUUUGUUACAUAAUCGAAGC
Molecule: long non-coding RNA, 268 nt
Organism: Ipomoea nil (Japanese morning glory)
Lineage: Eukaryota; Viridiplantae; Streptophyta; Magnoliopsida; Solanales; Convolvulaceae
Exons: 4
Source: RefSeq, a predicted model, not a curated record